This 357-nucleotide ribosomal RNA is filed under the name uncultured bacterium. Its description in RNAcentral is "bacterial SSU rRNA". It matches the Rfam family "Bacterial small subunit ribosomal RNA", at positions 28 to 355 of the family's 1533-position model. The record is from RNAcentral.
GACGAACGCUGGCGGCGUGCUUAACACAUGCAAGUCGAGCGAGAUCCAUCCAGUGGCAACACUGGUGAAGAUCUAGCGGCGAACGGGUGAGUAACACGUGAGCAACCUGCCCCGAAGACCGGGAGUAACAGCGGGAAACCGGACUGCUAAUACCGGAUGCCCUCACCGGGCCGCAUGACCUGGUGAGGAAAUGGCGUGAGUCUUAAUAAACUCAGUCCGCUUCGGGAGGGGCUCGCGGGCUAUCAGCUUGUUGGUGAGGUAACGGCUCACCAAGGCUACGACGGCUAGCUGGUCUGAGAGGACGACCAGCCACACUGGGACUGAGACACGGCCCAGACUCCUACGGGAGGCAGCAGU